Molecule: ribosomal RNA, 1554 nt
Filed under: Triticum aestivum (bread wheat)
Lineage: Eukaryota; Viridiplantae; Streptophyta; Magnoliopsida; Poales; Poaceae
Description: partial small subunit ribosomal RNA
Source: RNAcentral
AUGCUGGUUUGCUGUUGCUUUGUUGUGUCCCAGCUGCUCAUCGUAAUAACACUCAUAUACCUUGCCAUUACCAAGAGCAAGGUACGCUGUGGCACGUGCUCAUCGGCGACGGUGUCGCUUCCACUUCCGCCGGGGCCAUGGCCGUGGCCAGUGGUGGGUAGCCUGCCCGAGAUGGUGGUCAACAAGCCGGCGUUUCGAUGGAUCCAUCGCGUGAUGAAGGAUAUGGGCACCGACAUCGCCUGCUUCCGCCUCGGCGGCGUCCACGUCGUCCCGAUCACAUGUCCCAAGAUCGCAAGGGAGGUGCUCAAGAAGCAGGACAAAAACUUCUCGUCCCGCCCACUCACCUUCGCCUCCGGCGCCAUCAGCAGCGGGUACAAGGACGCCGUGCUCUCACCGUUCGGUGACCAGUGGAUGAAGAUGCGCAAGGUGCUCACCUCUGAGAUCAUCUGCCCCUCCCGUCACAAGUGGCUCCACGACAAGCGCGCCGACGAAGCUGACAACUUGACGCGCUACAUCUACAACCUCACCGCCCGGGGGUUGUCAUCUUCAACGUCGGGACUAGCCAACGUCAACGUCAGGCACGUCGCGCGGCAUUACUGCGGCAACGUCAUCCGCCGGCUUGUCUUCGGCCAACGGUACUUCGGGGAGCCUCAGCCGGACGGCGGGCCGGGGCCGAUGGAGGUGGAGCACAUGGACGCUUCCUUCGCCCUCCUAGGGUUCACCUUCGCGUUCUGCGUCAGCGACUACCUCCCGUGUCUACUUGGCCUAGAUCUCGACGGUCACGAGAAAAUUAUUAAGGAGACCAACACAAAAGUGGAUAGACUGCACGACGUGGACUUCCUUGACGUUCUCAUCACGCUCGCCGACGGUGACGGCAAGCCGUUGCUCAACAUCAAUGAGGUCAAAGCACAGUCCAAGGGCAUAAUAUUAGCGUCCAUAGAUAACCCGUCAAACGCAGUGGAGUGGGCGCUGGCGGAGAUGGUGAACAACCCAGAAUUGCUGGCCAAGGCGGUGGAGGAGAUGGACCGGGUGGUCGGUCGCGAGCGACCGGUGCAAGAGUCGGACAUCAUGCAGCUCAACUAUCUCAAGGCGUGCAUACGUGAGGCAUUUCGCCUCCACCCAAUCGCUCCCUUCAACCUGCCGCACGUCGCGAUUGUCGACACCAUUGUUGCGGGCUACCGCGUGCCCAAGGGUAGCAACGUCAUCCUCAGCCGGCUGGCCCUGGGCCGGAACCCCACUGUCUGGGAUGAACCGCUCCGCUUCAAGCCGGAGCGCCAUAUGGGAGACAACAUCAAUGUGGUGCUUACUGAGAGCGAAUUGCGGUUCAUCUCCUUCAGCACCGGACGACGGGGAUGCAUCGCGACAUCACUAGGAACAACCAUGAGUGUCAUGCUCUUUGGCAGGCUCCUGCAUGGCUUCACCUGGACCAAACCGGCUGGGGUGUCGGCCAUCAAUCUCAGCGAGUCCAAGCACGACCUCUUCAUAGAGAAGCCGUUAGUGCUACAUGCUGAGCCACGUCUUCCAGUGCACCUCUACCCUCUCAUGCAUUAUUGA